Molecule: ribosomal RNA, 263 nt
Filed under: uncultured soil bacterium
Lineage: Bacteria
Description: partial 16S ribosomal RNA
Rfam family: Bacterial small subunit ribosomal RNA
Source: RNAcentral
GGGAUGAACGCUGGCGGCGUGCUUAACACAUGCAAGUCGAACGAUGAAAGCCGGAGCUUGCUCUGGCUGGAUUAGUGGCGAACGGGUGAGUAACACGUGAGUAACCUGCCCUUGACUCUGGGAUAAGCACUGGAAACGGUGUCUAAUACCGGAUACGAGCUUCAGCCGCAUGGCUAGGAGCUGGAAAGAAUUUCGGUCAAGGAUGGACUCGCGGCCUAUCAGGUAGUUGGUGAGGUAAAGGCUCACCAAGCCGACGACGGGUA